RNAcentral lists this ribosomal RNA (82 nucleotides) under Escherichia coli. The record is from RNAcentral. Lineage: Bacteria; Pseudomonadati; Pseudomonadota; Gammaproteobacteria; Enterobacterales; Enterobacteriaceae. RNAcentral also lists the same sequence under 2 other names.
UCUGGUGACUAUAGCAAGGAGGUCACACCUGUUCCCAUGCCGAACACAGAAGUUAAGCUCCUUAGCGUCGAUGGUAGUCGAA